RNAcentral lists this long non-coding RNA (209 nucleotides) under Lathyrus oleraceus (garden pea). RNAcentral describes it as "Pisum sativum (pea) long non-coding RNA (PSAT_LNC027533)". Lineage: Eukaryota; Viridiplantae; Streptophyta; Magnoliopsida; Fabales; Fabaceae. The record is from RNAcentral.
UACCGUACAAUCGGCGGGAAGUUGAAUGACUUCAUACCGUUAGAUUAGAAUGUGAUCUAACGGUGGUAGUUUGUUUGCAGUGAAUGUUCUGUGGGACCCAAUACGAGUAGAAAGUUAUUGGAAAUCCCAAAAAGUUCGCUAGCUGCUCCCCACCGAUUUCCCGCCAAUUUAACCGAAAUUCUCGGAAUAUUUAAUUUUCGUUUUUAUUU